GACGAACGCUGGCGGCGUGCUUAACACAUGCAAGUCGAACGAGACGAUUGAAAGCUUGCUUUCGAAAGUCGAGUGGCAAACGGGUGAGUAACGCGUAGACAACCUGCCUUUGAGAUGGGGACAACAGUUCGAAAGGACUGCUAAUACCGAAUGUUGUAUAUUUUCCACAUGGAAGAUAUAUUAAAGAUGGCCUCUAUUUAUAAGCUAUCGCUCAAAGAUGGGUCUGCGUCUGAUUAGCUGGUUGGUGGGGUAACGGCCUACCAAGGCGACGAUCAGUAGCCGGUCUGAGGGGAUGACCGGCCACAUUGGGACUGAGACACGGCCCAGACUCCUACGGGAGGCAGCAGUGGGGAAUCUUCCACAAUGGACGAAAGUCUGAUGGAGCAACGCCGCGUGAGUGAAGAAGGGUUCCGGCUCGUAAAGCUCUGUUGUCGGGGACGAAUGUGCAGUAUUUGAAUAAAGUACUGUAAUGACGGUACCUGACGAGGAAGCCACGGCUAACUACGUGCCAGCAGCCGCAGUAA
Molecule: ribosomal RNA, 524 nt
Filed under: uncultured bacterium
Lineage: Bacteria
Description: partial 16S ribosomal RNA
Rfam family: Bacterial small subunit ribosomal RNA
Source: RNAcentral